AGAGUUUGAUCAUGGCUCAGGACGAACGCUGGCGGCGUGCUUAACACAUGCAAGUCAAGGGGGCCCAGCAAUGGGCAACCGGCGAACGGGUGCGUAACACGUGAGCAACCUACCGAACUGUGGGGGAUAGCCGGCCUAACGGCCGAGUAAUACCGCAUACGCUCUCAGAGAGGCAUUUUUUUGAGAGGAAACCUACGGGACAGAUCGAGGGGCUCGCGGCCUAUCAGCUAGUUGGCGAGGUAACGGCUCACCAAGGCAACGACGGGUAGCUGGUCUGAGAGGAUGGCCAGCCACAUUGGGACUGAGAUACGGCCCAGACUCCUACGGGAGGCAGCAGUGGGGAAUCUUGCGCAAUGGCCUAACGGCUGACGCAGCGACGCCGCGUGUGGGAUGAAGCUCCUCGGAGUGUAAACCACUGUUGCCCGGGACGAAUAGCUCGAUUAAUCGAGCCUGACGGUACCGGGUGAGGAAGCACCGGCUAACUCCGUGCCAGCAGCCGCGGUAAUACGGGGGGUGCGAGCGUUGUCCGGAAUCACUGGGCGUAAAGGGCGCGUAGGUGGUUUGAUAAGGGUGUGGUGAAAGUCCGGGGCUCAACCCCGGAUCUGCCGUGCCGACUGUCAAACUCGAGGGCUGUAGAGGCAGGCGGAAUUCCGGGUGUAGCGGUGGAAUGCGUAGAGAUCCGGAGGAAGACCGGUGGCGAAGGCGGCCUGCUGGGCAGUUUCUGACACUGAGGCGCGAAAGCUAGGGGAGCAAACAGGAUUAGAUACCCUAGUAGUCC
This 778-nucleotide ribosomal RNA is filed under the name uncultured bacterium. RNAcentral describes it as "bacterial SSU rRNA". It matches the Rfam family "Bacterial small subunit ribosomal RNA", at positions 8 to 796 of the family's 1533-position model. The record is from RNAcentral.